UGGGGAAUCUUGCGCAAUGGGCGAAAGCCUGAUGGAGCGACGUCGCGUGAUGGACGAAGUGCUUCGGCACGUAAACAUCUUUUUAUGUGGGAUGAAAUUAUUGACAGUACCACAUGAAUAAGGGGCUCCUAACUCUGUGCCAGCAGGAGCGGUAAUACAGAGGCCCCAAGCGUUAUCCGGAAUCACUGGGCGUAAAGGGUGUCGAGGCGGUUGUAUUAGUCGUUCGUAAAAUCUACGAGCUUAACUUGUAGGCGGCGAACGAAACGGUACGACUUGAGGUUUGGAGAGGUGCGUGGAACUCACGGUGUAGGGGUGAAAUCCGUUGAUAUCGUGGGGAACACCAAAGGCGAAGGCAGCGCACUGGCCAAAAUCUGACGCUCACACACGAAAGCUAGGGUAGCGAAGAGGAUUAGAUACCCCUGUAGUCCCUGAGCGGGCUGGCAAGGCGCAU
RNAcentral lists this ribosomal RNA (451 nucleotides) under uncultured bacterium. RNAcentral describes it as "bacterial SSU rRNA". It matches the Rfam family "Bacterial small subunit ribosomal RNA", at positions 355 to 825 of the family's 1533-position model. The record is from RNAcentral.